CUGAUUUGAUUAGAGAAUUUGAGAAAAAAUGAAUCUUUUAAAUUUUUAUUCCAAUCAUUUUGAUGUCUUUUUUUUUUGUUGUAUUUUAAUUGCAGAGGAUGAGCAUGAUGUUGUUUGGUUUUGGCUAGAGAAAGAGAAGCCACAUGAAUGCCCAGUCUGCACACAUUAGUUUGUGUGUUUUGAAAGAACGAGAAGACACAUAAUAGAACCUGAAUGGGAAGAAGAAAGAAGAAAGCCAGCUUUUCAACCGAUAAGCUAAAAUAAAUCCCCUCGAUCUCCUCAUCGGCGGCGGCGGUGGCGACCACCAGUACGUUUGGAACCAAGCUGAAUUUGAUAUCAUUAAGCUAAAGACAAGAAUUAGUCCAUUUCCAUCUUAAAAAGCAGCAGAUGACAAUUAAACCACCAUGCAUCAGGUAACCUUCACGCUCAGAUUGCAUUCAAUGGCUAUCUAGACCAAAAGAACCUACAGUAGAUCAUUACUAACUCGGGGUAGAUUGAAAAGAGUUUAGGUCUGGCGGGCUUCUACAGUUUAGGGAAGAAUACCAAGAUUUACAUUUUGUUUAACUCCCUGAAUAAACAUGUGUAUUUUGUUAACAGUAUUGAAAACUAUUGUACAAAACAUUUUCCAGGGGAUUUUGUUGAUUAUGUAACUGUGAAUU
Molecule: long non-coding RNA, 659 nt
Organism: Malus domestica (apple)
Lineage: Eukaryota; Viridiplantae; Streptophyta; Magnoliopsida; Rosales; Rosaceae
Source: RefSeq, a predicted model, not a curated record